CGAUGGCUUUCUGUUGAGGCAUGUAUUGAUGAAAAAUUAAUUGCAUGCCAUGAAUUGUCUUGAAGUCAACAUCAUGAGUUAUGAAUGUGAUGACAUUAAUGGAACUCAAGGGAUGGAAGUUGGGACCUCCAUGAAAGCUAGUGUUCAGUGCCAACUUGUUCGGUUAGGUGAAUGUAUCGAUCUAUUUAUUUUAUUAAACAGUAAAAAUUGGCCUCAAUUAUCGUUUUCAGAUUGCAAAUAUAAUGUUUUAAGAUG
Dioscorea cayenensis subsp. rotundata (Guinea yam) is the source of this 255-nucleotide long non-coding RNA. RefSeq lists it as uncharacterized. The record is from RefSeq and is a predicted model, not a curated record. Lineage: Eukaryota; Viridiplantae; Streptophyta; Magnoliopsida; Dioscoreales; Dioscoreaceae. The transcript is spliced from 2 exons.